RNAcentral lists this small RNA (959 nucleotides) under Histoplasma capsulatum. Its description in RNAcentral is "hypothetical RNA". RNAcentral also lists the same sequence under 1 other name. Lineage: Eukaryota; Fungi; Ascomycota; Eurotiomycetes; Onygenales; Ajellomycetaceae. The record is from RNAcentral.
CGACUUCUACUUCUUGGUCUUUAUCCCCAGCCUGAAUGUUCAACUUUUUUCUCCAGUCCCAGACUCCACGAUCCACCUCUUCACGUGUCAUCCCAUCUCUCACCAGGCAAAACGAAACUCCCAAUUCCGUCUGCACAUUUCUAUUCCUUGCUUCAUCGUCAAAAAACAACAUAUCUUCAUAUCGUAUUCCACUUGCUUGGUGUAUUCGCGAGAAAUGUUGCGACUUAUCGCCGGGGAAAAUCUGAACAUAGUCAAAAUAAUCCAGAGCACGGACAGAGCGAUUAUUGGCUGCCGUGGGGUUAUCCGAGAACGAUGGUAUGAUAUGUAAUGUUUUAAGCAUAUCUCGAGCAAUGUCUGGAGCGUACGUUCUCGACGCAAUCCCUAUGGGUAUGGAUCGCGAACGACACGCAUGCAAGAUAGAGGAUACGGCGGGGUAAAAUGCGAAAGAUUCACCCCACCUGUAACAAACCCAGAAUCAAACAAAUCAGAAGUCAGUCGCCGGUAAGAUGCGAUCAGUCAUUACCUACUACAGGUAAGUCACGUUCAAUCUGUGACACGAGCGGGAUACUGGGGCCGGGAAAGCGACAUAGAGAAGGCCAUACCUGUCAACGCAUCGCGAGUUAUUGUCCUUUGCUUUAAGAGGAGGACUAACAUGGGUGUCGACCCAAAAUGGCCAUAAUGUAUAAUCUAGGUCGAAAACGAAAAGUUUCGGCAAAGGAAGUCCGUCGUUGAAGGUCGAAGGCGCAACUGUGGGAUCUUCGAGGGCGGGCUGGGCUUUCGCUCCUGAGCCGCUUUUUGUUCUGGCCAUACUAGUAUGCGCGGCUUAAACGUAUACACAAAUCAUCAACCUGCCUUUCGGUUUAGCAAGUGUACAUGAAAUAUCCCCAAUCUCCAGCCCAAAAUUGGGAAAUGCAAUGUUGGGAAAUGUAGAAUUAUUGAUUAUUAUCGAUUAUUGAAAG